Molecule: ribosomal RNA, 453 nt
Filed under: uncultured Lachnospiraceae bacterium
Lineage: Bacteria; Bacillati; Bacillota; Clostridia; Lachnospirales; Lachnospiraceae
Description: bacterial SSU rRNA
Rfam family: Bacterial small subunit ribosomal RNA
Source: RNAcentral
GGUCCCGCAUGGGAAUAUUUGUUAAAGAUUCAUCGCUGAUAGAUAGGCAUGCGUUCCAUUAGGCAGUUGGCGGGGUAACGGCCCACCAAACCGACGAUGGAUAGGGGUUCUGAGAGGAAGGUCCCCCACAUUGGUACUGAGACACGGACCAAACUCCUACGGGAGGCAGCAGUGGGGGAUAUUGCACAAUGGGGGAAACCCUGAUGCAGCGACGCCGCGUGGAGGAAGAAGGUUUUCGGAUUGUAAACUCCUGUCGUUAGGGACGAUAAUGACGGUACCUAACAAGAAAGCACCGGCUAACUACGUGCCAGCAGCCGCGGUAAAACGUAGGGUGCAAGCGUUGUCCGGAAUUACUGGGUGUAAAGGGAGCGCAGGCGGGAAGACAAGUUGGAAGUGAAAACCAUGGGCUCAACCCAUGAAUUGCUUUCAAAACUGUUUUUCUUGAGUAGUGCA